GUAGAUCGACGGCCUUCGCCCUUCAGGCCGUUUCUUUCCUCCUCCUCUUCUGAUCUUAGACAUUUGAACUAAAAAGAAAUCUCGAAUACGAGAGAUCACCCUUCUUCCCAAAUUUUGUUGGAUCUCCGUCUCCUCCUCCUAUCCUUUCCUCUAUUUGAAAAAAGUUCAAUCCUCUAGUUUUCUGCGAGCUAUUACGUUAGAUUCUUCCCUUUCUCUCUCCCAAUCAACGCCCACAUACUUGGAUUCGGGAUUCGAAUUGCACUGGGGCUUUGGCUAGAUACCCUCGCAUCAUGAUCAGUUCUUCCAACUGAUGCGUUUUUAGACGAUUUGGUCAGAAGGGUUUUGUUGUUCUUCGGGUAUAGAUUCGGAUUCUUGGCGUUCUAGAUGGAUCUUGGUUUGGUUUCCCCAUUGAGUGGAUCUUUGUGUGGUAUUCAAUGAUAUGCACAUCUCAAAUGCGUUGCUCCUCGCUGGGAUUUGAGGGGGGGACUUUGAUAUCUGAGAGACUUGGUUUCUUGGGUCCGGAGGGAGAUUCUUGUGGUUGAGGGAUUUGGGGGAGCCAUGUUUUGGAGGGAAAGGGAAAGGGAGAGGGACAGCAGAGAGCAGAACGGUGGUCCUCCUUGCGGACAGGUCCGGGUCCUCGUGGUCGGAGACGCUGGUGUCGGAAAGACAUCUCUAGUUCAUCUAAUUGUAAAAAGUUCUUCAAUUGCUCGGCCACCUCAAACAAUAGGGUGUACAGUGAGUGUUAAGCAUAUUACUUAUGGAAGUGCUAGCAGCUCUUCUAAUAGCAUAAAAGGCGAUGCAGAAAGGGACUUCUUUGUUGAGCUUUGGGAUGUCUCAGGACAUGAACGGUACAAAGAUUGCCGAUCUCUUUUCUACACACAAAUCAACGGUGUAAUAUUUGUUCAUGAUCUCUCCCAAAGGAGGACAAAGACAAGCUUGCAGCGGUGGGCAGCAGAAAUUGCAGCAACCGGAACGUUUUCAGCUCCAGUUGGAACUGGUGGGCCUGGAGGUCUUCCUGUUCCUUAUGUGGUUAUCAGUAAUAAAGCUGAUAUUGCUGCCAAGGAGGGCAUCAGGGGAAGCAGUGGAAACCUUGUUGAUGCUGCUCGCCAGUGGGUUGAAAAACAGGGCCUACUUCCAUCUAGCGAAGAACUUCCUUUAACGGAGAGCUUCCCAGGCAAUUCAGGCCUCAUCACAGCUGCCAAAGAAGCUAGAUAUGACAAAGAAGCUUUGAUUAAGUUUUUUCGCAUGUUAAUCAGGAGAAGAUAUUUUUCUGAUGAACUACCAGCAUCAAACCCAUGGGCUGUAGCUCCCAUACAGAAUUCCAUCCAACGUUUGGAUGAGAUCUCCACUGAUGAUGAUCAAUUUCAAAAGAAAUUAAGCUAUUACUUAAAGUAUGUGCCUCAAUAAUUAUGGGGUGCUUGUGGGGCAGCCUGAUCUCACAUGACGCCUAUACCACAUGCAGCUUAAGUGGUGAGAGUCACAAGUACAAUGCGCUUCCUCCUGUCCCUACUCAAAGAAACCUAACACCACCUCCCACACUCUAUCCGCAGCAGCCAAUGUCUACAUCUGAGAGUUACAGCUUCCAGAGAUUUUCAGCAUCUAGUUUGCCUGACAUGGUUGGCACCAGAUCAAGCCGAGCUGAUAUCAAUGUCUGACUAUAAAUUCAACCAACAAUUAUCUUCAGUAUAAAAAGAAGGCACGCUGCAUACUGCAUGAACUUAUAAAUACUAGGAAGCAAUUUCAGCAGCUGCUUAAGGUGUAGUGGGAUUGACUGUUGCAUUUGGUAAAACUGCUUGGGACGUGUUCUCUAGUUUGGAGUUGAGCUGCACGGUCUGUGUGAAUUUCACCAUGGCCCUAGCUAUGCUGCCUGUAUAUUUGAUCUUUAGAUCUAUCUUGUGGAGAUUGCCAGUGAUUCUUUUACAUAUAUUCUUGCAGUGUAAAAACUUGGCUGUUUGUACGAAGAAAAGAAAUAUACUUUUAAUUCAUAUUAAAGAAGAAAAAUAACUUGAUCCAUGUUCUAUCA
This is an RNA transcript of Elaeis guineensis (African oil palm), 2023 nucleotides long. It is a transcript of the gene named small GTPase LIP1, with no coding region annotated. NCBI's taxonomy places the organism in Eukaryota, Viridiplantae, Streptophyta, Magnoliopsida, Arecales, Arecaceae. The record is from RefSeq and is a predicted model, not a curated record.